RNAcentral lists this ribosomal RNA (467 nucleotides) under uncultured bacterium. RNAcentral describes it as "partial small subunit ribosomal RNA". It matches the Rfam family "Bacterial small subunit ribosomal RNA", at positions 26 to 518 of the family's 1533-position model. The record is from RNAcentral.
AGGACGAACGCUGGCGGCGUGCUUAACACAUGCAAGUGGAGCGACGAACCAGGGCUUGCCCUGGGGCAGAGCCGCGAACGGGUGAGUAACACGUGGGUUACCUGCCUCGAUGACCGGGACAACCCGAGGAAACUCGGGCUAAUACCGGAUGUGCCCGCAAGGGGAAAGGAAGCUUCGGCCUCCGCAUCGAGAUGGGCCCGCGGCCCAUUAGCUUGUUGGUGAGGUAACGGCUCACCAAGGCUUCGAUGGGUAGCUGGUCUGAGAGGACGAUCAGCCACACUGGGACUGAGACACGGCCCAGACUCCUACGGGAGGCAGCAGUGGGGAAUUUUGCGCAAUGGGGGAAACCCUGACGCAGCAACGCCGCGUGGAGGAUGAAGUCCUUUGGGACGUAAACUCCUUUCGACCAAGACGAUAAUGACGGUACUGGUGGAAGGAGCACCGGCUAACUCUGUGCCAGCAGCCGC